This 435-nucleotide ribosomal RNA is filed under the name uncultured bacterium. RNAcentral's name for it is "partial 16S ribosomal RNA". It matches the Rfam family "Bacterial small subunit ribosomal RNA", at positions 29 to 507 of the family's 1533-position model. The record is from RNAcentral.
AGCGAACGCUGGCGGCAGGCUUAACACAUGCAAGUCGAACGGGCAUCUUCGGAUGUCAGUGGCAGACGGGUGAGUAACACGUGGGAACGUACCCUUCGGUUCGGAAUAACUCGGGGAAACUUGAGCUAAUACCGGAUACGCCCUUUUGGGGAAAGGUUUACUGCCGAAGGAUCGGCCCGCGUCUGAUUAGCUUGUUGGUGGGGUAACGGCCUACCAAGGCGACGAUCAGUAGCUGGUCUGAGAGGAUGAUCAGCCACACUGGGACUGAGACACGGCCCAGACUCCUACGGGAGGCAGCAGUGGGGAAUAUUGGACAAUGGGCGCAAGCCUGAUCCAGCCAUGCCGCGUGAGUGACGAAGGCCUUAGGGUUGUAAAGCUCUUUUGUCCGGGACGAUAAUGACGGUACCGGAAGAAUAAGCCCCGGCUAACUUCGUG